CCUACGGGAGGCAGCAGUGGGGAAUAUUGCACAAUGGGGGAAACCCUGAUGCAGCGACGCCGCGUGAGUGAAGAAGUAAUUCGUUAUGUAAAGCUCUAUCAGCAGGGAAGAAAAUGACGGUACCUGAGUAAGAAGCCCCGGCUAACUACGUGCCAGCAGCCGCGGUAAUACGUAGGGGGCAAGCGUUAUCCGGAUUUACUGGGUGGAAAGGGAGCGUAGACGGCAGUGCAAGUCUGGAGUGAAAGGCGGGGGCUCAACCCCCGGACUGCUCUGGAAACUGUACGGCUGGAGUGCAGGAGAGGUAAGUGGAAUUCCUAGUGUAGCGGUGAAAUGCGUAGAUAUUAGGAGGAACACCAGUGGCGAAGGCGGCUUACUGGACUGUAACUGACGUGGAGGCUCGAAAGCGUGGGGAGCAAACAGGAUUAGAUACCCGAGUAGUG
RNAcentral lists this ribosomal RNA (440 nucleotides) under uncultured bacterium. RNAcentral describes it as "partial 16S ribosomal RNA". It matches the Rfam family "Bacterial small subunit ribosomal RNA", at positions 338 to 795 of the family's 1533-position model. The record is from RNAcentral.